This is a long non-coding RNA of Fundulus heteroclitus (mummichog), 1337 nucleotides long. RefSeq lists it as uncharacterized. The transcript has 2 exons. The record is from RefSeq and is a predicted model, not a curated record. NCBI's taxonomy places the organism in Eukaryota, Metazoa, Chordata, Actinopteri, Cyprinodontiformes, Fundulidae.
CCCAGAGGUUUUAGUUUUACAACUAGAUUUAUUUUCUCACUAAAUAAAUACACUAAAUGUUUGAUAUUUCUAAAUGUUUUUUGUCUAAGAUUAUACCACUACAGCAAAGAUGGAUUUAUUUUAAGACUUUUCCUUUUUGUGGUGGGUGGGCAAUUCAGAGAUACUUUUCUGCUCGCUGCAGCUUAAACAACAAACACAUUUUUCAAGUCUCAUCAAGUUUAUUAACUUUCCCAAUCAGUUCUUGCAGCAAGAUGUUUACUGGAUUGAUAUUCAUUCAUUUUCGUAAAAGGUUAUAGCUUUUUAAAAAUACAAACUCUGAACCUCCAAGCGCCCAAAAUAUCAAUAAAUGGGAAAGGCAAACAUAAUGAGAACAUAUUGAUUCUCAACUCAAUAAAGAUCCAUUUGAUAAACCCAUUCCCGUGUCUCUGAAAAAGAAAAACAGGACAUCACUAAGUCAGCUAACAAAUGAACUCCUAAAACUGUGCUAUCAUAUUUACCAGCAUAAAGAAGAGUUUGUUCAGAACACACUUCAUAUUCGGGGUCUUUAGAAGUCUUUAACAUCAGAUAUGAACAAUGUCAGCAUAUUUAUGAAUAUUUUACUUUCCCAAAACUAAUAGAAUACAAUAAACAGAAAAGCUUUGUAUGAUUUGUCACCUGGUACCAUAUGAAAGUUUAUUAAAGGGCAAUUUGCUUUGGUUUUUGUUGUAUAUUUUCAAAACAGACUCUCCUUUUGUGUGAAAGAAAUGAAGCACACCCACCUGGAACUCCAUGUUGCUUUCAUCAACUGGGACUUUUUUUUCUUCCUUAUUCAGCUCCAGUUUGUUUUGCCUUGUUUUUUUUAUUCCCCUAUCUAUCCAAGUGUCUCUUUCUGUUCACUGUAGUUUCUCUCUUUCCCAUUUUUUCUUGUGUUAGGGUCACUAACCAUUGUUUGCUAACUGCAAUCUUCCCCAGAGAUUUGCUCAUAUGCAGCAUUUGAGAGUGUGUGUGUGUGUGUGAGGGUUAUUAUGCAUACAGCAGUGUGUGUUCAAAUGUGUUGCAUCUCUGCUGAUUGGUUGAACAAAAGCAUGGACUACCCUGAUAUGUGGAUAUGCUGGCCCAUCUCCAGAGUUGGCAGUGUGCCGGCAUGUCGUUGGUCAUGCAUGAUUUGGCAGAGUUUCACAGCAGAUGUAAGAGGCCGCAGCAGGAGAACAAGGGGAAGUCGCUUGUUAGCCAAGACUGUUUGACCAUAAUGAAUCUUUGUCUUGCUAAACAAUUCUGACCUUGGGAAAGUAGCUGAUGCAUGAUGCGUUUAUGCACAAUUUUACAUUUAACUCAAACCAGUCUAAGCAGAAUGCUGA